Melitaea cinxia (Glanville fritillary) is the source of this 98-nucleotide long non-coding RNA. RefSeq lists it as uncharacterized. The record is from RefSeq and is a predicted model, not a curated record. The transcript is spliced from 3 exons. Lineage: Eukaryota; Metazoa; Arthropoda; Insecta; Lepidoptera; Nymphalidae.
UUUAUUGAAAUACUACCUGUGCCCGCGACUUCGUUUGCGUGAAAUUUAACAGAAAAGUUAUUGUCAGUUUGCAGUAAUGAAAUAAAUAACUUUCUAAA